GACAGAGGGUGCAAACGUUGUUCGGAAUUACUGGGCGUAAAGCGCGUGUAGGCGGCAGGGCAUGUCGGAUGUGAAAUCCCGUGGCUCAACCACGGAAGUGCACCCGAAACUGCCCAGCUUGAGUCUCGGAGAGGAAGGCGGAAUGCUUGGUGUAGAGGUGAAAUUCGUAGAUACCACCCAGAACUCCGAUUGCGAAGGCAGCCUACUGGUCGUUAACCGACGCUCAGGCACGAAAGCGUGGGGAUCAAACAGG
Molecule: ribosomal RNA, 253 nt
Filed under: uncultured bacterium
Lineage: Bacteria
Description: partial 16S ribosomal RNA
Rfam family: Bacterial small subunit ribosomal RNA
Source: RNAcentral